Molecule: non-coding RNA, 705 nt
Organism: Pelobates cultripes (western spadefoot toad)
Lineage: Eukaryota; Metazoa; Chordata; Amphibia; Anura; Pelobatidae
Source: the annotation of a GenBank genome assembly
AACCUAGAAGAGACAAAAUUGAAAAAAAAAGUAACAAAUCUUUCUUUAAAAAAAAAAAGGGGGUUCCAAAUCAAAAGACUAUUGUUAUGGGCACAUGCAAAUAUUACAAGUUUUAGAAUUAAAUGUUGUAUUUCUUAAACUGUGUACUUUUGUCUUUAAGAGAUAUUGCAAACUGACAAGGUGUUAGAAAUGGAACAUAGUUUUUCAUAACUGUUUCUUUAAGCAUUAACCUCAGUGCAUAAUAUGUUUGCGCCAUUUUGUCCCAGACUAAUUACAAUAACAAUAAUGCAUAAACAAGCUUCAAGGCUAUGCUACGACUCUUUCAGUACACAAUAUACUGUGGUAACCUUAGUAGAUAAGGAUGUUCAGACUUUAAGAUGCCAUCUUGAACUAAGUCAGGAAAAGUUCCAUGACGUAUGCACCCUUUAGUUAUGGACUUGUAUUUUUGCAAAGUUAAGGGAGGUCCUAAAAUGAAUAAAGUAAAAGAAGUGUUACUUUUUCAUAUAUGAACUACGGUAACCCUAAAAUGGAGACACCUAAGGUAUAAAUUGGUGUACUUUUAAAUGUUACGAAACAGAGGAGAGACUUGGAGACAGACGCUGCUCCAUCUUAAAAUGACAGAGAGGCUGACAUGAUGACAUGUUCAGAAGGGUAUGUUAACCUAUUAAUGAUAUUUGCAAGCAUUUAGUUUAAUCUUAAACUCUG